AAAAAUGCGAUGAUGGCGCACAAAGAGUUGUAUUUUCCCACAGAGAGAGGGAGUCGUCGGCUGGGAGCUUCCUUGGGUUCAGAUGCAGCUUGAAUUUCACGCCGGAGCUGUCCUUUUGAAGGCCUUUGGGUUUAGGAGGGAACGUGGCGGCACGUUACGCCGGAAUGAGAGCCUGCGGUGCACAGGGCGUUAAACGCCGGAUGUGAAGCAGGAAUGUGGGUGGUACCGCGGAAAUUAUUUCGUCCCUGGA
Molecule: non-coding RNA, 250 nt
Filed under: Clostridium sp.
Lineage: Bacteria; Bacillati; Bacillota; Clostridia; Eubacteriales; Clostridiaceae
Description: T-box sequence
Rfam family: T-box leader
About the family: Uncharged tRNA acts as the effector for transcription antitermination of genes in the T-box leader family. T-boxes are found upstream of many aminoacyl-tRNA synthetase genes and some amino acid biosynthetic genes usually in Gram-positive bacteria. The anticodon of a specific tRNA base pairs to a specifier sequence within the T-box motif, and the NCCA acceptor tail of the tRNA base pairs to a conserved bulge in the T-box antiterminator hairpin.
Source: RNAcentral